GUGCUCGCUUCGGCAGCACAUAUACUAAAAUUGGAAUGAUACAGAGAAGAUUAGCAUGGCCACUGUGCAAGGAUGACAUGCAAAUUCGAGAAGCGUUCCAUAUUUAA
Molecule: small nuclear RNA, 107 nt
Filed under: Microcebus murinus (gray mouse lemur)
Lineage: Eukaryota; Metazoa; Chordata; Mammalia; Primates; Cheirogaleidae
Source: RNAcentral